RNAcentral lists this ribosomal RNA (253 nucleotides) under uncultured bacterium. RNAcentral describes it as "partial 16S ribosomal RNA". It matches the Rfam family "Bacterial small subunit ribosomal RNA", at positions 524 to 776 of the family's 1533-position model. The record is from RNAcentral.
UACAGAGGGGGCAAGCGUUGUUCGGAAUUACUGGGCGUAAAGGGCGCGUAGGCGGCCUUCUAAGUCGAACGUGAAAUCCCUGGGCUCAACCCAGGAACUGCGUCCGAUACUGGAAGGCUUGAAUCCGGGAGAGGGAUGCGGAAUUCCAGGUGUAGCGGUGAAAUGCGUAGAUAUCAGGAAGAAUAUCCGUGGCGAAGGCGGCUCUCUGGUACGGCACUGACGCUGAGACGCGAAAGCGUGGGGAGCGAACAGG